GGAGAGGUCGCAUAGUUGGCCUAGUGCGCUCGCUUGGAAAGCGAGUAUGGCGUAAGCCAUCGUGGGUUCGAAUCCCACCCUCUCCG
Molecule: transfer RNA, 86 nt
Filed under: Anaerolineaceae bacterium
Lineage: Bacteria; Bacillati; Chloroflexota; Anaerolineae; Anaerolineales; Anaerolineaceae
Also listed under: 1 other name
Description: tRNA-Ser
Rfam family: tRNA
About the family: Transfer RNA (tRNA) molecules are approximately 80 nucleotides in length. Their secondary structure includes four short double-helical elements and three loops (D, anti-codon, and T loops).
Source: RNAcentral